CACAUAUCUCUGUCUAUGUGCACAUACCCUCUCCCUCACACACAUAUCUCUGUCUAUGUGCACAUACCCUCUCCCUCACACACAUAUCUGUCUGUAUGCAUGUGCACAUACCCUCUCCCUCACACAUAUCUCUGUCUAUGUGCACAUACCCUCUCCCUCACACAUAUCUCUGUCUGUAUGCAUGUGCACAUACCCUUUCCCACACACACCCUUAAGGUGGUUGUUCUGGGGUUACAUUAAGGGUUUUGUGUGUGCUAGACAGUUCCUUACCACUGAGCCACAGUCACCCCAUACACUUCCAUGUUUGCUGAUGCCCCUUGAGCAACUUCUGUGUGAUUAUAUUAAAUAUCUAGUAUUUAAUACAUACUUUAAUCAAUUAACCUGAUUAUAAUUACUAUUUAAAGUUCACUGAACACAUAGGGAUU
This 425-nucleotide long non-coding RNA is filed under the name Rattus norvegicus (Norway rat). RNAcentral's name for it is "long non-coding RNA NONRATT028849". Lineage: Eukaryota; Metazoa; Chordata; Mammalia; Rodentia; Muridae. The record is from RNAcentral.